GAUGAACGCUGGCGGCGUGCCUAAUACAUGCAAGUCGAGCGAACAGACGAGGAGCUUGCUCCUCUGACGUUAGCGGCGGACGGGUGAGUAACACGUGGAUAACCUACCUAUAAGACUGGGAUAACUUCGGGAAACCGGAGCUAAUACCGGAUAAUAUAUUGAACCGCAUGGUUCAAUAGUGAAAGACGGUUUUGCUGUCACUUAUAGAUGGAUCCGCGCCGCAUUAGCUAGUUGGUAAGCUAACGGCUUACCAAGGCGACGAUGCGUAGCCGACCUGAGAGGGUGAUCGGCCACACUGGAACUGAGACACGGUCCAGACUCCUACGGGAGGCAGCAGUAGGGAAUCUUCCGCAAUGGGCGAAAGCCUGACGGAGCAACGCCGCGUGAGUGAUGAAGGUCUUCGGAUCGUAAAACUCUGUUAUUAGGGAAGAACAAAUGUGUAAGUAACUAUGCACGUCUUGACGGUACCUAAUCAGAAAGCCACGGCUAACUACGUG
RNAcentral lists this ribosomal RNA (497 nucleotides) under uncultured bacterium. Its description in RNAcentral is "partial 16S ribosomal RNA". It matches the Rfam family "Bacterial small subunit ribosomal RNA", at positions 28 to 507 of the family's 1533-position model. The record is from RNAcentral.